Molecule: ribosomal RNA, 484 nt
Filed under: uncultured bacterium
Lineage: Bacteria
Description: partial 16S ribosomal RNA
Rfam family: Bacterial small subunit ribosomal RNA
Source: RNAcentral
AUUGAACGCUGGCGGCAGGCCUAACACAUGCAAGUCGAGCGGAUGAAGGGAGCUUGCUCCUGGAUUCAGCGGCGGACGGGUGAGUAAUGCCUAGGAAUCUGCCUGGUAGUGGGGGAUAACGUCCGGAAACGGGCGCUAAUACCGCAUACGUCCUGAGGGAGAAAGUGGGGGAUCUUCAGACCUCACGCUAUCAGAUGAGCCUAGGUCGGAUUAGCUAGUUGGUGGGGUAAAGGCCUACCAAGGCGACGAUCCGUAACUGGUCUGAGAGGAUGAUCAGUCACACUGGAACUGAGACACGGUCCAGACUCCUACGGGAGGCAGCAGUGGGGAAUAUUGGACAAUGGGCGAAAGCCUGAUCCAGCCAUGCCGCGUGUGUGAAGAAGGUCUUCGGAAUGUAAAGCACUUUAAGUUGGGAGGAAGGGCAGUAAGUUAAUACCUUGCUGUUUUGACGUUACCAACAGAAUAAGCACCGGCUAACUUCGUG